GAUGAACGCUGGCGGCGUGCCUAAUACAUGCAAGUCGAGCGAAUGGAUUAAGAGCUUGCUCUUAUGAAGUUAGCGGCGGACGGGUGAGUAACACGUGGGUAACCUGCCCAUAAGACUGGGAUAACUCCGGGAAACCGGGGCUAAUACCGGAUAACAUUUUGAACCGCAUGGUUCGAAAUUGAAAGGCGGCUUCGGCUGUCACUUAUAGAUGGACCCGCGUCGCAUUAGCUAGUUGGUGAGGUAACGGCUCACCAAGGCAACGGUGCGUAGCCGACCGGGGAGGGUGAUCGGCCACACUGGGACUGAGACACGGCCCAGACUCCUACGGGAGGCAGCAGUAGGGAAUCUUCCGCAAUGGACGAAAGUCUGACGGAGCGACGCCGCGUGAGUGAUGAAGGCUUUCGGGUCGUAAAACUCUGUUGUUAGGGAAGAACAAGUGCUAGUUGAAUAAGCUGGCACCUUGACGGUACCUAACCAGAAAGCCACGGCUAACUACGUGCCAGCCGCCGCCGUAA
RNAcentral lists this ribosomal RNA (515 nucleotides) under uncultured bacterium. RNAcentral's name for it is "partial 16S ribosomal RNA". It matches the Rfam family "Bacterial small subunit ribosomal RNA", at positions 28 to 523 of the family's 1533-position model. The record is from RNAcentral.